GCCAAAGAAUAAGAAAUGUUCGUGCAAUUGCGAUGUGGAAACUAAAAAUGAAAAAUUGAAGGAAAACACUAAAUAAGCCUGCUGGAGGUCAGUGCAGAAGAAAAAGGACGCCUAAUCCAAGCUGUUGCCUUUUAUUGUGGGACUUCACCGACAGGAAGCAAGAUCCACUAGAGGAUCCCAGUGGGAUUGCGCUCUCUACAUGGAGACUCUACCAAGCGUGUCCUUGCAAACACAACCCCGAAACAUUCUCCGACGAGCUCUCCAAUGGGGAACCACAGGACUCCACCUCCAUCAGCUACUUGGUAGCUAAAGCGGUGAUGGCGGACGCGCUGGGUUCUAAAGGGACGAGAAAAAAGGGGGGAAGCUGGAGGAGCCAUUACCAGCCAUUGUCUGAAUGAUGGUCGACUUCCUGCAGUAUCAGGCGGAACCACCCCGUUCCCAAUCCGGCUCCUACUUCCUCAACGUCCAAUAUCCCUAUUGGAACUCGGAGCUGGACUGCAGAUGUCGAAGUAUCCGCGGGACGAGAAGGAAGCUUUAUAUUUCUAAAAUACAUGAAUAAAAACAUUCGCUGAA
Drosophila suzukii is the source of this 573-nucleotide non-coding RNA. The record is from RefSeq and is a predicted model, not a curated record. NCBI's taxonomy places the organism in Eukaryota, Metazoa, Arthropoda, Insecta, Diptera, Drosophilidae.